Non-coding RNA from Termitomyces sp. T159_Od127, 86 nucleotides. NCBI's taxonomy places the organism in Eukaryota, Fungi, Basidiomycota, Agaricomycetes, Agaricales, Lyophyllaceae. The record is from the annotation of a GenBank genome assembly.
GGGCACAUGGUGUAGUUGGUUAUCACGCCCGCUUAGCAUUUAUGUGUGGCUGCGGGCGGUGCCCGGUUCAAUUCCGGGUGUGUCCA